UGAGCAAUCUGCCCUUCUCAUCGGAAUAAGCGUUGGAAACGACGUCUAAUGCCGAAUACGACCUCCUUUCGCAUGAUCGGAGGUGGAAAGCUCCGGCGGAGAAGGAUGAGCUCGCGGCCUAUCAGCUAGUUGGUGUGGGUAAUGGCCCACAAGGCGACGACGGGUAGCCGGCCUGAGAGGGUGACCGGCCACACUGGGACUGAGACACGGCCCAGACUCCUACGGAAGCAG
This 231-nucleotide ribosomal RNA is filed under the name uncultured bacterium. RNAcentral's name for it is "partial 16S ribosomal RNA". It matches the Rfam family "Bacterial small subunit ribosomal RNA", at positions 118 to 347 of the family's 1533-position model. The record is from RNAcentral.